UCGAGCGGAUGACAGGAGCUGCUCCCUUGAUUCAGCGGCGGACGGGUGAGUAAUACCUAGGAAUCUGCCUGGUAGUGGGGGACAACGUUUCGAAAGGAACGCUAAUACCGCAUACGUCCUACGGGAGAAAGCAGGGGACCUUCGGGCCUUGCGCUAUCAGAUGAGCCUAGGUCGGAUUAGCUAGUUGGUGGGGUAAUGGCUCACCAAGGCGACGAUCCGUAACUGGUCUGAGAGGAUGAUCAGUCACACUGGAACUGAGACACGGUCCAGACUCCUACGGGAGGCAGCAGUGGGGAAUAUUGGACAAUGGGCGAAAGCCUGAUCCAGCCAUGCCGCGUGUGUGAAGAAGGUCUUCGGAUUGUAAAGCACUUUAAGUUGGGAGGAAGGGCAGUAAGUUAAUACCUUGCUGUUUUGACGUUACCGACAGAAUAAGCACCGGCUAACUCUGUG
RNAcentral lists this ribosomal RNA (450 nucleotides) under uncultured bacterium. Its description in RNAcentral is "bacterial SSU rRNA". It matches the Rfam family "Bacterial small subunit ribosomal RNA", at positions 62 to 507 of the family's 1533-position model. The record is from RNAcentral.